UAGAGUUUGAUCCUGGCUCAGAUUGAACGCUGGCGGAAUGCUUUACACAUGCAAGUCGAACGGCAGCACGGGUGCUUGCACCUGGUGGCGAGUGGCGAACGGGUGAGUAAUACCUAGGAACAUGUCCAGUAAUGGGGGAUAACGCAGCGAAAGCUGUGCUAAUACCGCAUACGCCCUACGGGGGAAAGCGGGGGAUUCGCAAGAACCUCGCGUUAUUGGAGUGGCCUAGGCCUGAUUAGCUAGUUGGUGAGGUAAAGGCUCACCAAGGCGACGAUCAGUAGCUGGUCUGGGAGGAUGAUCAGUCACACUGGAACUGGGACACGGUCCAGACUCCUACGGGAGGCAGCAGUGGGGAAUAUUGGACAAUGGGCGAAAGCCUGAUCCAGCCAUGCCGCGUGUGUGAAGAAGGUCUUCGGAUUGUAAAGCACUUUAAGUUGGGAGGAAGGGCCAUUACCCAAUACGUGAUGGUUUUGACGUUACCGACAGAAUAAGCACCGGCUAACUCUGUGCCAGCAGCCGCGGUAAUACAGAGGGUGCAAGCGUUAAUCGGAAUUACUGGGCGUAAAGCGCGCGUAGGUGGUUUGUUAAGUUGGAUGUGAAAUCCCCGGGCUCAACCUGGGAACUGCAUUCAAAACUGACUGACUAGAGUAUGGUAGAGGGUGGUGGAAUUUCCUGUGUAGCGGUGAAAUGCGUAGAUAUAGGAAGGAACACCAGUGGCGAAGGCGACCACCUGGACUGAUACUGACACUGAGGUGCGAAAGCGUGGGGAGCAAACAGGAUUAGAUACCCUGGUAGUCCACGCCGUAAACGAUGUCAACUAGCCGUUGGGAGCCUUGAGCUCUUAGUGGCGCAGCUAACGCAUUAAGUUGACCGCCUGGGGAGUACGGCCGCAAGGUUAAAACUCAAAUGAAUUGACGGGGGCCCGCACAAGCGGUGGAACAUGUGGUUUAAUUCGAAGCAACGCGAAGAACCUUACCAGGCCUUGACAUCCAAUGAACUUUCUAGAAAUAGAUUGGUGCCUUCGGGAACAUUGAAACAGGUGCUGCAUGGCUGUCGUCAGCUCGUGUCGUGAAAUGUUGGGUAAGUCCCGUAACGAGCGCAACCUUUGCCUUAGUUACCAGCACGUAAUGGUGGGCACUCUUAAGGAACUGCCGGUGACAAACCGGAAGGAAGGUGGGGAUAAC
Molecule: ribosomal RNA, 1184 nt
Filed under: uncultured bacterium
Lineage: Bacteria
Description: bacterial SSU rRNA
Rfam family: Bacterial small subunit ribosomal RNA
Source: RNAcentral